GUCCCUUCCUGGCCUUUUAGCCAAAAUCAAGUGUAGUAUCCAUUCUUGUCAAUUUGAUGCCAGACAUAUCUUCAAUUUGAGGACUUGAUGUUAAAUGGGUCUGGGGAGUGGGAGCUUGACUUGGAGCUUGCUCUGUGCCUUGACCUAGCAAUGCCGUGCCCCCUGGAACAGGACUGGGUGA
Molecule: non-coding RNA, 181 nt
Organism: Cathartes aura (turkey vulture)
Lineage: Eukaryota; Metazoa; Chordata; Aves; Accipitriformes; Cathartidae
Source: Rfam